GCCCUAUGCCGUCGUUGCUGGAACCACCGUUGCUGCCCUACCCUGCCGCCGCUGCUCGAAACCCCCUCUCUAUUCUCGCCGCUGUUGCCCUACUGUCGUUGGAAUGGCCGCCGCCACCGCUGCUUGAACCGCCCAUUUCCAUUCCAGGCAGCAGAGGUAGGUCGAGUGGGACAUGUGGUUGUAGUAGAGGGCGGGAUUCCAACAAAUCCCCUAGGGUUGCCUAGUCAUUGCCUGCUAUCCCAGCUACCCCGUCGACCCUUGUGACGUCACAGGCGGGUCCAUCGGACUAGCAAUUUAUCAUGGUCCCAAACCCGAACUGGGUGCCUCCUACUUCUGCUACGCCCCCUGUAGAUGCAGCGACAAUGUCGACAGAGCUUACGGUGGGUGAUACCUCCAAUGCCCCCGAGCAAGAUGCCCCUCCACCAUCGCCCGUCAUCUGGCUGAGGAUUUGGCCCGAUGGCAUGCAGUCGUGAGUUUAAUUUUUUAAUAUUAAAUUUGUUUAUUUUAAGUUUGUUUAUGCUAAGUUUGUUUAUCUUAUUUAAUUGUUAAUGUGCGGUUUGUUCUCUGACAAGUUUGCACCGAACCCCAAUUUGGUUAUUAAGACCAUCAGUGGCCGAUCUACAUGCAGAUCCCGGCUAAGACCAGAGAGCGUUAGUUUCAGAAGUGGACGGAUGUAGAGCAUAACCUCAUGAUCCGGAAGAUUUAUGACCACUGGACAACCAAACAUUUUCAGCAGAUGAUGAAUGAUGUUUGUCAGGGAAAAGACCACCUAACCUCGUGGAUCUAUCCAAACAUCAAGUAUGAUAUAGAGGCUCAUUUUAGAGAUAACGAGGGGUUCAAGCAUCGCCGUCUGACGAACAUCACCAACAGGACUUUGCCCAGGACGUCGAGGUAUACGAGUGGGUCGGCAACCUUCAUGAAGACGAAGACGAGACUGGUUUUUCCCGUACCCGAAUGCGUGUACGCAGGAGAUGACGAAUGUUAUAAAGCUGAUGUACGACCAUCCUUAACCCAGCUACAUAAAUAUCUCCACUGAGACCAAGCAGUGCUGGUUUGAAAAACGGGCAGUAAUUACUUUCAUUGUUUCUAUUUUAGGCUUUUUUUAGCUAGUUUAUAUCCUCUAUCUUGUUUACCUAAAUUUAAAGCUGUUUUGUUACAGCUUCACUUUUUUGGGAUGCUGGGCACGACCUGGCUAUUUGGAAGAUAUUUGACUAUAGGAUAGGUCAGCUACUCAAGCAGAUGCUGGAUGAUGUUCGUCAUGGGCGGGACCAACGGACGCGCUGGCUCUGACUGGAGGUAAAAGAGGGCAUGUUAGCUCAUUCGGAGACCGACUCGGGGUUCAGGCAUUGGCGUCUCAACAACCGAGCUAAUAGGGCAUCAACUAGGUUGUCCAAGUACACCGGCGGCUCGGCGACCUUCAUGAAGAUGAAGGUCAGGCUGUCGAAUUCAUUGGAACGUGAGGCCAUAUUGGAGGAGACGUUCAAGUAUACCCACAUGCUGAAGGAGAACAAACACAUGAGUCUUACACACAAAGAAUAGAGGCCGUGACUUAGUAGUCUCAGCAAAGUAGGGAGGACACCGCUAAUGGAUCUGCGGCCUUAGUCGUCGACCACGAUGCGGUUUGGCACGAGACCACCCCAGCCUCGUACAUGAACAGCGUAUACGGGAUGGGAUCGUUCUUCACCAGCAGCCUUUGCACCUCGACGUUGAGGCCGUCAUCAAGCUCCACCUCCAUUCAAGCCGUCCAGCUCGAGGAAAGCGUGGAUUUAAGGUUCCAAGCUCCAGCGUAGCCUUCAUUAGCAAGCUCAAGAGCUUAAUGAUUAUCAGGAGAUGAAUCAGGAGAUCCUCACCCACGUGACAUCUACGGAUGAGCUCAGGCUGGAGUUUAGGGAGUCGCUGGAGCGGAUGCAGCGUAGGCUUAGAUGGAGGUGUACCAGGCCCAGAUGCGCGCCGCUGGCAUCGACCCUGCUGGUGGCAGUGGUAGCACUGGUGGCACAUGGACAUCGUCACCGCCUCCUACACACCCCGACUUAGGGCCACGAAACAAACGACGACGACUACCUGAAUUUGUAGAUAUUAGGUUUUUGUUUUAUUGUUUCAUACAUUUAUU
Arachis stenosperma is the source of this 2110-nucleotide long non-coding RNA. RefSeq lists it as uncharacterized. The record is from RefSeq and is a predicted model, not a curated record. Lineage: Eukaryota; Viridiplantae; Streptophyta; Magnoliopsida; Fabales; Fabaceae. The transcript has 6 exons.